GGUGAGAUGGCCGAGCGGUCUAAGGCGCCACGUUAAGGUUUUCCUUAAUCAACAUCCUACUAGCUGGAUUCCGUGGUCCGAAAGGGCGUGGGUUCGAAUCCCACUCUCAUCA
This is a transfer RNA of Podospora anserina, 112 nucleotides long. It matches the Rfam family "tRNA". From Rfam's summary of the family: Transfer RNA (tRNA) molecules are approximately 80 nucleotides in length. NCBI's taxonomy places the organism in Eukaryota, Fungi, Ascomycota, Sordariomycetes, Sordariales, Podosporaceae. The record is from Rfam.